Meriones unguiculatus (Mongolian gerbil) is the source of this 1015-nucleotide RNA transcript. It is a transcript of the gene named ninjurin 2, with no coding region annotated. NCBI's taxonomy places the organism in Eukaryota, Metazoa, Chordata, Mammalia, Rodentia, Muridae. The transcript has 5 exons. The record is from RefSeq and is a predicted model, not a curated record.
GGACUGGAGGGGCCACUCAAAGGCCACCUAUCAAUAUGCCACAUGCAGGGCAGACACUCGCACACAUGUGCGCCUCCCCCAGGGGCUGAGGCCAAGCCAAGCAUCCCGCAUCGGCGCAUGAAUAGCAGCACUGUCUCCCACCCCAGAAGAGCUGUAGGCACAGGCUGCCCGGCUGAAGAGCCCACGCAAACUCCAGGCACUCGGAGGGUGGAAAGUGGCCCGAAGCAGCAAGAUGGAGUCAGACCGUGAAAUCGUCCACCUUCAACACCGGCGCUCCCUCGCCCGAGGGAACCAGCCCAUCAACCUGAAUCACUACGCCACCAAGAAGAGCGUGGCACAGAGCAUGCUGGACGUGGCUCUCUUUAUGUCCAAUGCCGCGCGGCUGAAGUCGGUGCUGGAGCAGGGGCCGUCCUCGCAGUACUACACCACCCUCAUCGCCCUCAUCAGCAUCUCUCUGCUCCUGCAAGUGGUCGUUGGCGUCCUUCUCGUGGUCAUCGCCAGGCUGAACCUGAACAAGCCGGAAAAGCAGUGGCGCCUAAACCAGCUCAACAACGCUGCCACCAUCUUGGUCUUCAUCACCGUCGUCGUCAACGUUUUCAUCACUGCUUUCGGGGCACACAAGGCGGGCUCCGUGGCUGCCAGGACCUCCAGCAAUCCUAUCUAGUGGCUCCCUGGGUCCCAGGUGGCUGGAAGCCGCACUUCCGGCCCGCUCCAGGGCUGCUGAGUCACUCCGUUCCUCACUUACUUCAGCUGCUGGACUGGCCUCCAGGAGAGCUCCAAGGGCAAUGAAGAUGCCUGCUUCCUGCCCGACCGCUCUUUUACUGGGUGAUGUCAGCGCCCCUUGGUCUGGAGGCCUGAGCUCAUGCUCUGCAGCAGCCACCCUUUCCGCCAGCAGCAGGAACCGGGGCUGCUAAGGCAGACUCUGGUUCCCCUCUAUUCCUUCCCUCUGCCCCAGGCCUCAAUAUUCCCUUUCUGUAAAAAGGGACUCUUAUCUAUAAAGACAUCUGAAAAUCCA